CAUAUGUUGAUAAAUAAUAUAGAGAUUGGCGAGAAAAAAAUAGUUUAGUGAUAUUUAAAAGAUAGUACAAGAUGCAAAAAAGAAAAAUAAAUCUGAAAUACAGUAUAUAGAUUGAUAAAAUAUGAUAAUAAAGUGGUGUCUAUGAAAAAAAUUAGUACAGUGGAGCAAGUGAAAAAAAAUCAACAAAGGAUAGUAUAGUAGAGUGUAAUUAGCCGAUAAAGAAAAAUACCUACUUGUACACCUAAUGUAGGGAUGGACAUUUUACAUCUCUUAAUCUAAAAAUUUAGAAAGCUCUGGGUGCUUAUAAAGGAAAAUGUUGAUAAGAUUAGUGGAGUGAUUAUAGCUAUAGAAAGUAUGGAAUGUAAGAUAUAUAUCUAGGCUUUGAGUGUAUAGGUAGCAUUGCUCAAAAAAUAAAGGUUGAAUUGUAUUAUCGGUCCUCAAACUAUAAGAAGCGUGGCACUUUGGUCCUCAGACCUUAAUUUUGUUGUAAAUUUUGACUUAAAUUUCUAGAUUCUUAUAAUCAAUUCUCACGGUGCAAUUUAGUUAAUUAAAUGGUAAUAUAUUAUUGAAUAUUAUUGAUGUGAUAGUAAGAUAACAAUAUUACGAUUGAUAAUGUAGAAAUAAUUAAAACUCCACACUACUGCCAUACAAUUAUACAUCAUUACUCAACCGAUAAAAUUAUACUAUAGGACUUAAACUAGAACUAUACAGAAAAUUU
Molecule: long non-coding RNA, 718 nt
Filed under: Ananas comosus (pineapple)
Lineage: Eukaryota; Viridiplantae; Streptophyta; Magnoliopsida; Poales; Bromeliaceae
Description: long non-coding RNA (ACOM_LNC015002)
Source: RNAcentral